Molecule: non-coding RNA, 72 nt
Organism: Myotis lucifugus (little brown bat)
Lineage: Eukaryota; Metazoa; Chordata; Mammalia; Chiroptera; Vespertilionidae
Source: Rfam
CCCAGUGUGGCUCAGUAGUAGAGUAAUGGCUUGUGCAUCUAAGGGUUGCAGGUUAGAUUCCUGCUCCAGGGC